GGCACAGCUUGUACAGGAUAGGUAGGAGCCUUUGAAACGUGAGCGCUAGCUUACGUGGAGGCGCUGGUGGGAUACUACCCUAGCUGUGUUGGCUUUCUAACCCGCACCACUUAUCGUGGUGGGAGACAGUGUCAGGCGGGCAGUUUGACUGGGGCGGUCGCCUCCUAAAAGGUAACGGAGGCGCUCAAAGGUUCCCUCAGAAUGGUUGGAAAUCAUUCAUAGAGUGUAAAGGCAUAAGGGAGCUUGACUGCGAGACCUACAAGUCGAGCAGGGUCGAAAGACGGACUUAGUGAUCCGGUGGUUCCGCAUGGAAGGGCCAUCGCUCAACG
RNAcentral lists this ribosomal RNA (329 nucleotides) under Escherichia coli. RNAcentral describes it as "partial 23S ribosomal RNA". It matches the Rfam family "Bacterial large subunit ribosomal RNA", at positions 2126 to 2454 of the family's 2925-position model. The record is from RNAcentral. Lineage: Bacteria; Pseudomonadati; Pseudomonadota; Gammaproteobacteria; Enterobacterales; Enterobacteriaceae.